RNAcentral lists this ribosomal RNA (233 nucleotides) under uncultured bacterium. Its description in RNAcentral is "partial 16S ribosomal RNA". It matches the Rfam family "Bacterial small subunit ribosomal RNA", at positions 118 to 351 of the family's 1533-position model. The record is from RNAcentral.
UGAGUAACCUGCCCUUAACUCUGGGAUAAGCCUGGGAAACUGGGUCUAAUACCGGAUAUGACUCCUCAUCGCAUGGUGGGGGGUGGAAAGCUUUAUUGUGGUUUGGAUGGGCCCGCGGCCUAUCAGCUUGUUGGUGAGGUAAUGGCUCACCAAGGCGACGACGGGUAGCCGGCCUGAGAGGGUGACCGGUCACACUGGGACUGAGACACGGCCCAGACUCCUACGGGAGGCAG